UAAUACAGAGGGUGCAAGCGUUGUUCGGAAUUAUUGGGCGUAAAGCGCGUGUAGGCGGUCUGUUAUGUCGGGUGUGAAAGCCCUCAGCUCAACUGAGGAAGUGCGCCCGAAACUGGCAGACUUGAGUGCCGGAGAGGAUAGCGGAACACCCGGUGUAGAGGUGAAAUUCGUAGAUAUCGGGUAGAACACCAGUGGCGAAGGCGGCUAUCUGGACGGACACUGACGCUGAGACGCGAAAGCGUGGGGAGCAAACAGGAUUAGAUACCCUGGUAGUCCACGCCGUAAACGAUGAGAACUAGGUGUUGUGGGUGUUGACCCCUGCAGUGCCGAAGCUAACGCAUUAAGUUCUCCGCCUGGGAAGUACGGCCGCAAGGCUA
Molecule: ribosomal RNA, 377 nt
Filed under: uncultured bacterium
Lineage: Bacteria
Description: bacterial SSU rRNA
Rfam family: Bacterial small subunit ribosomal RNA
Source: RNAcentral